AGUUACUUCCGGGUAUACCUGAGCAGGUGAACAACAGAGCAGAGGAGCCGUUUUGGGCCGCAGGAUGAAGCAGAGACAAAGAGGACAAAUGCUGAGGAUGGGGGAUUACAUGAGGACUCAGCUGGUGAGUGCCAUCCAGCUGCAGGAGGUGGAGCUGCAGGAGAAACCUGCAGACAAACAGCAGAGCGGCAAAAACAACGGUCUCCGGAAAUCAUUGAAAAAUACCAGUUUAAUAAUAUAUAUAUAUAAUAAGGCGGUCUCUGGUGUUACUGAGCGGCUCUAAAGAUUAUUUCAUUAUUCACGUGUUUAGAAUCAUAAAUAAAGAGCUCAGCAGGUUGUUUCCAUCUUUAACUGUUUUGACUCUAAAACAUGAAACAAAAGUUGAAUAUUUGAAUAAAUAAAUCCUGAUAUGAAAUCUGGAUUUGAAGCUGUGCAGCUGCAGCGAGUCACAGUGAGUCAC
Molecule: non-coding RNA, 460 nt
Organism: Plectropomus leopardus (leopard coralgrouper)
Lineage: Eukaryota; Metazoa; Chordata; Actinopteri; Perciformes; Serranidae
Source: RefSeq, a predicted model, not a curated record